GGGUUUAUGAAAGGAUUGUGAAUGCGGAUAAACUAAAUUAAAACACGGAUGCAACAAAAACGUAAAAACGGAAUUGCAAACACAGAUGUAAAAAUGGAAUCAAAUGCAAAAUGAAAAUGGUUGGUCAUUAACUCAAUUACUAUGCUUCCUAUCCUAGAUUAACGACAAGUACACACUACUCUAAUCCAAAUCCAACACGAAUCACCCAACUAAGCGAAGGCUAAUUCGGUCUUCAAAAAUGCAAACUAAGCGAAUGCAAUGCUCAAUUCCAAUCAAUCAUCCACC
This 285-nucleotide long non-coding RNA is filed under the name Vigna radiata. Its description in RNAcentral is "long non-coding RNA (VRAD_LNC015115)". The record is from RNAcentral. Lineage: Eukaryota; Viridiplantae; Streptophyta; Magnoliopsida; Fabales; Fabaceae.